RNAcentral lists this ribosomal RNA (430 nucleotides) under Acidobacteriota bacterium. RNAcentral describes it as "Acidobacteria bacterium partial 16S ribosomal RNA". It matches the Rfam family "Bacterial small subunit ribosomal RNA", at positions 355 to 776 of the family's 1533-position model. The record is from RNAcentral. Lineage: Bacteria; Pseudomonadati; Acidobacteriota.
UGGGGAAUAUUGGUCAAUGGGCGCAAGCCUGAUCCAGCCAUGCCGCGCGUGUGAAGAAGGCCUUUUGGUUGUAAAGCACUUUAAGCGAGGAGGAGGCUACUUGGAUUAAUACUCUAGGAUAGUGGACGUCACUCGCAGAAUAAGCACCGGCUAACUCUGUGCCAGCAGCCGCGGUAAUACAGAGGGUGCGAGCGUUAAUCGGAUUUACUGGGCGUAAAGCGUGCGUAGGCGGCUUUUUAAGUCGGAUGUGAAAUCCCUGAGCUUAACUUAGGAAUUGCAUUCGAUACUGGGAAGCUAGAGGAUGGGAGAGGAUGGUAGAAUUCCAGGUGUGGCGGUGAAGUGCGUAGAGGUCUGGAGGAAUACCGAUGGCGAAGGCAGCCGUCUGGCCUAAUACUGACGCUGAGGUACGAGAGCAUGGGGAGCAGACAGG